UUGCAUAUCAAUAAGCGGAGGAAAAGAAACUAACAAGGAUUCCCCUAGUAGCGGCGAGCGAAGCGGGAAGAGCUCAAAUUUAUAAUCUGGCACCUUCGGUGUCCGAGUUGUAAUCUCUAGAAAUGUUUUCCGCGUUGGACCGCACACAAGUCUGUUGGAAUACAGCGGCAUAGUGGUGAGACCCCCGUAUAUGGUGCGGACGCCCAGCGCUUUGUGAUACAUUUUCGAAGAGUCGAGUUGUUUAA
This 245-nucleotide ribosomal RNA is filed under the name Rhodotorula mucilaginosa. Its description in RNAcentral is "partial 26S ribosomal RNA". It matches the Rfam family "Eukaryotic large subunit ribosomal RNA", at positions 36 to 277 of the family's 3401-position model. The record is from RNAcentral. Lineage: Eukaryota; Fungi; Basidiomycota; Microbotryomycetes; Sporidiobolales; Sporidiobolaceae.